RNAcentral lists this small RNA (523 nucleotides) under Drosophila yakuba. Its description in RNAcentral is "GE27407". The record is from RNAcentral. Lineage: Eukaryota; Metazoa; Arthropoda; Insecta; Diptera; Drosophilidae.
AUUUUAUGCCGACGUUCAAGAUUCAGGGUCAGAUUUACCACCGCGCUGGCUCAUUAUUACCAUAUCCUGAUACCGACCGUCAAUUCUUACAAAUCUAUUUCGUUGGAAAUGAAAAUCGCGAAUUGGAUCGGCGAUGUACAAUUGCUUCCAGGGCAAGGCGACAAAUUGUUUCUGAGCUUCAAACAAUUUUUCAUCAACACAAUGAAUUAGUUCGAUUAUUCAAAAUCGCUCUCGAUCGUAUGCCAUCGGAUAACCACAAAAUCAUCAUAAAAGCCGAUAGAACACCCAUUGAAGAGCACGCAAGACGAUUUAAUGCACCGACAAUCGAUGAUGUGGCUAUUGUAAUUGUUGGAGACCAGUUUCAAUCUCGCGACAUCGUAGAAGAAGAAAUAAGCAAUUACAGCGAGUUUCAGAGCUUCACCGCAGCUAUGAUGGAUUACAAUAUCCAUUAUUGUACUGGAAAGGUGAUGACGCCUAUAAUAUCCUUAUACCAAUGAUAGAUCCACAAACCGGUCGUGACAUU